This 435-nucleotide long non-coding RNA is filed under the name Homo sapiens (human). RNAcentral describes it as "non-protein coding lnc-ARHGEF3-1:1". The record is from RNAcentral. Lineage: Eukaryota; Metazoa; Chordata; Mammalia; Primates; Hominidae.
UAUUCUCCAUUCUUCUUACCUUGAACCAACCUCAGUAACAAAUUUUAACUACAGACGUGCUUGCUUGGUACACAAUGAGCUUUUGGAAAAGGAGUUUACAGAAAAGCGAAGAGAACUGAAGUUUGAUGGUCGUUUAGAUAAGGAACUUUCAGAAUCCUAUGCAUUUCUGAUGGUUGAUCGAUACCAGGUGAGUUAACGCAUUUUAUAAAAAACAAUUUGGGGAUGUUUCCAUUGUAAGUUACUAAUUUUGUGAUUAUUCAACAGUAUUCUUUACAAUUACAGACUUUUUUGAUAUAUAAGUGGAAUACAUGAUUUAAUGGGGCAAAAUGUUUAUUGUUUGUAAUUUGUUUUUCAAAUGUACUCAGUUUUUUCUCUGACCAGUCCUAUUUUCUUCCCCUAGAAUGUGCUUGAUAAUAAUACUUUUCUGUUUAUUUA